Long non-coding RNA from Oncorhynchus tshawytscha (Chinook salmon), 1401 nucleotides. Lineage: Eukaryota; Metazoa; Chordata; Actinopteri; Salmoniformes; Salmonidae. The record is from Ensembl.
GGGGAAUAGGGGCUGGACUGGGUCUUGGUCUGUCUACGUACACAGCAGACGACCACGGGGAGGCUGGAACCACACAGUCACGUCUCCUGCUGAGGGGUGUAGCCGGAAAAAAAGAGAAAGAAAGAGAGAGAAUAGAAAGACAGAGAGCCACGCACGGCUCAGCUGAGGCAAGCAAACGAUUGGAGUAGAAAUCGUGAGAGACAACCGCUGGAAGCGAACAGUGGAAGGGAGGAAGGAAAGAGAAAACAGACAGGACCCAAAUCUGCCAGCGACCACCACCUCCUCUCCAUCUCGAUGGUUAGCUGCGCACCCACAUAGACCAAUGACACCCCCCGCCCUCUUCUAAAAAGACAACUAGGGGGGAUGACCGCCUACCGAGAAGGCAGUUGACUAGCGUCGUAACUAAGCGAUGCACCUUCUUUCCAAGAGCGCAAGCUUGAAGCUAUAUUUUAUCCUAACAUAGGCUAUUUGACGAAUGUCAGUGUUGACAUUAUUUCCUAAUAGUGUUGUGGUUAUUGACAACGAGCCUCGGUUUGUUUUCGAGACUCUGUAAAGCAAAGUUUUUUUUUCUGCUGGACUUGUUUUUUUUCACUGCGUCCUGGAUUUCCAUACUUGCAGAAAAACAGAUGAUUAUUUUUGCGACAAGCUAGGCCUAUUUGUAAAGAAAUAUAGCAGUAGAACGAACGGACUCCUUUGGGGUGGGUUUUUAUGUCUUUAUUUUCCGUACAGUCUGUUAUAUAUACAUUAUAUUCUAUCGACAAAGGUUCGACAAGCGCCUACUAAACUUGUCUCUUGAAUAGACACCCUUCUGUAGCCUAUUUAACCGUUUGAAACGGAUGUGUGCACACCAAGAAGAUACUGAGAAGUGACAGUAGAGGAGACAUCCAACGAGGACAGCCGACAAGGAUACUUUCUAUACGUUGGCGUCCAGUGGAGACAAGGCUUUUAUAAAAGUUGCCAUGGUAUCAUUGGACGAGCCUCUGGACCUGAAGCUUCCACAGGCCAAUGGGAGGGUCAGGUUGGGAAAGAGGGCAUGUUCGGCCUCCAUCUGCGCCCCCCUCAGUGCCACACGACAACGUCUGCUACGUAACCUACCGAUGACCUACCCCUCACCACCUCCCUCUCCAGGUAAACACACACUCUCUCUCUCUCGCUCUCUCUCACACACACACUACCCCUCACCACCUCCCUCUCCAGGUAAACACACACACUCUCUCUCUCUCUCGCUCUCUCUCUCUCUCUUACUCUCUCUCACACACACACUACCCCACACCACACACACAUAAAUCCCUCUAUUCAUUUCUAGUUGUUUUAGAGGCCAGUGAGUCCAUGUGUGUGUCCCAAGUGGCACCGUAUUCCCUUUACAGUGCACUUGGCCCAUAUGGCUCUGGUUAAAAGUAG